UCGGGAAUUUUGCCCAAUGGACGAAAGUCUGAGGCAGCAACGCCGCGUGAGGGAUGAAGGCCUUCGGGUUGUAAACCUCUUUUCUCAGGGACGAUGAUGACGGUACCUGAGGAAUAAGCCACGGCUUACUACGUGCCAGCAGCCGCGGUAAUACGUAGGUGGCAAGCGUUGUCCGGAUUUACUGGGCGUAAAGAGCGCGCAGGCGGUCGAUUAAGUCGGAUGUGAAAUCCCCUGGCUCAACUGGGGGGCGUCAUUCGAUACUGCUCGACUUGAAGGCAGGAGAGGGAAGCGGAAUUCCCGGUGUAGUGGUGAAAUGCGUAGAUAUCGGGAGGAACACCAGUGGCGAAGGCGGCUUCCUGGCCUGUUCUUGACGCUGAGGCGCGAAAGCCAGGGGAGCAAACGG
This 403-nucleotide ribosomal RNA is filed under the name uncultured bacterium. RNAcentral's name for it is "bacterial SSU rRNA". It matches the Rfam family "Bacterial small subunit ribosomal RNA", at positions 355 to 775 of the family's 1533-position model. The record is from RNAcentral.